GUGACUUGCAGAUUUUUUUAAAGAAUUUAAUUUGAGUUUUAUUUUAUAUUAAAAUUUGUCAAAAUACAUCCCAUAUUUAGAAAAAAUAAUUUAAAUUUUAAAUAUUCAUUAUACAUUUUUUAAUUUUGAAUAGUCCUGUGUCAAAUAUACAUGAAGUAUUUCUGAUGACAUUAACACACUUUAUAUAUUCCUCCACAUUACCAAGGCAUGUAUUAUUUGAUUUUGAAACUAGGACUGCUGCUACCAUUGUGGCACCCUUUGACAAAAUUGCAGUUAGUGCCUCCUUUCCUUCAUCUAUCAUACAUUUGAUAAAAAUAUCCACAACUAUAAAGUUAAUCAGAUAUCUGCAUGGAAAAGCAAUCUCUUAUCAUCUUGCAAGAUUCAGGUUCAAUUCCAGUCCCACAUCUUCAGUUUUUCAGGAUGAAUUACA
RNAcentral lists this long non-coding RNA (430 nucleotides) under Androctonus crassicauda. The record is from RNAcentral. Lineage: Eukaryota; Metazoa; Arthropoda; Arachnida; Scorpiones; Buthidae.